Molecule: transfer RNA, 77 nt
Filed under: Escherichia coli O121:H19 str. 2010C-3794
Lineage: Bacteria; Pseudomonadati; Pseudomonadota; Gammaproteobacteria; Enterobacterales; Enterobacteriaceae
Description: tRNA-Arg
Rfam family: tRNA
About the family: Transfer RNA (tRNA) molecules are approximately 80 nucleotides in length. Their secondary structure includes four short double-helical elements and three loops (D, anti-codon, and T loops).
Source: RNAcentral
CCGCCAUUAGCUCAUCGGGAAAGAGCGCCAGCCUUCGAAGCUGGCUGCGCGGGGUUCAAGUCCCCGAUGGCGGUCCA